This 474-nucleotide ribosomal RNA is filed under the name Triticum aestivum (bread wheat). RNAcentral describes it as "partial small subunit ribosomal RNA". The record is from RNAcentral. Lineage: Eukaryota; Viridiplantae; Streptophyta; Magnoliopsida; Poales; Poaceae.
GCAAGGAAAUGGAUUCCGCCCCCACAUGGAUAUGUGAAGAUUAAUGUGGAUGGUGCAGUGUGUAGAAGCCCACCUAUUGGUGCGGUUAGCGCUGUAUGCCGGGAUGGACAAGGUGUGUAUAUGGGUUCUUCGGCUGUGGUUUUUCACGGGCUGACCGACCCACACAUUUUGGAAACUUUGGCGUGUCGUGAGGCGCUAUCGUUGGGAAGGGACUCGCUACUCCAAAACAUCACAGCGGCCUCGGACUGUCUCUCCGCCAUCAACGACAUCAACUCAGGAACUCAUGGUAUCACUGGCCCAAUCGUCAAAGAAAUAAAGGACGGUUGUGGUGAUUUUCAGGCUAUCUCUUUUGUCCAUAAAGGACGUCACUCCAAUACGGAGGCGCAUAGUUUAACUAGACAUGCUUAUUGCAUUUGGGUGAAGGGCGCCAUAUUUGGCUUCUACAACCCUUUGAUACUCUGUUUAUUCCUGUAA